This 497-nucleotide ribosomal RNA is filed under the name uncultured bacterium. RNAcentral's name for it is "partial 16S ribosomal RNA". It matches the Rfam family "Bacterial small subunit ribosomal RNA", at positions 28 to 507 of the family's 1533-position model. The record is from RNAcentral.
GAUGAACGCUGGCGGCGUGCCUAAUACAUGCAAGUCGAGCGAACAGACGAGGGGCUUGCUCCUCUGACGUUAGCGGCGGACGGGUGAGUAACACGUGGAUAACCUACCUAUAAGACUGGGAUAACUUCGGGAAACCGGAGCUAACACCGGAUAAUAUAUUGAACCGCAUGGUUCAAUAGUGAAAGAGGGUUUUGCUGUCACUUAGAGAUGGAUCCGCGCCGCAUUAGCUAGUUGGUAAGGUAACGGCUUACCACGGCAACGAUGCGUAGCCGACCUGAGAGGGUGAUCGGCCGCACUGGAACUGAGACACGGUCCAGACUCCUACGGGAGGCAGCAGUAGGGAAUCUUCCGCAAUGGGCGAAAGCCUGACGGAGCAACGCCGCGUGAGUGAUGAAGGUCUUCGGAUCGUAAAACUCUGUUAUUAGGGAAGAACAAAUGUGUAAGUAACUAUGCACGUCUUGAGGGUACCUAAUCAGAGGGCCACGGCUAACUACGUG